RNAcentral lists this ribosomal RNA (577 nucleotides) under Paenibacillus sp. EKM102P. Its description in RNAcentral is "partial 23S ribosomal RNA". It matches the Rfam family "Bacterial large subunit ribosomal RNA", at positions 2240 to 2816 of the family's 2925-position model. RNAcentral also lists the same sequence under 1 other name. The record is from RNAcentral. Lineage: Bacteria; Bacillati; Bacillota; Bacilli; Caryophanales; Paenibacillaceae.
CCGGUACGAGGACAGUGUCAGGUGGGCAGUUUGACUGGGGCGGUCGCCUCCUAAAGAGUAACGGAGGCGCCCCAAGGUUCCCUCAGAAUGGUUGGAAAUCAUUCGAAGAGUGCAAAGGCAGAAGGGAGCUUGACUGCGAGACCUACAAGUCGAGCAGGGACGAAAGUCGGGCUUAGUGAUCCGGUGGUACCGCAUGGAAGGGCCAUCGCUCAACGGAUAAAAGCUACCCUGGGGAUAACAGGCUUAUCUCCCCCAAGAGUCCACAUCGACGGGGAGGUUUGGCACCUCGAUGUCGGCUCAUCGCAUCCUGGGGCUGAAGUAGGUCCCAAGGGUUGGGCUGUUCGCCCAUUAAAGCGGUACGCGAGCUGGGUUCAGAACGUCGUGAGACAGUUCGGUCCCUAUCUGUCGUGGGCGUAGGAAAUUUGAGAGGAGCUGUCCUUAGUACGAGAGGACCGGGAUGGACGUACCGCUGGUGUACCAGUUGUUCCGCCAGGAGCACCGCUGGGUAGCUAUGUACGGAAGGGAUAAGCGCUGAAAGCAUCUAAGCGUGAAGCCCCCCUCAAGAUGAGAUUUCCCA